GGAUUAGAUACCCUAUUAUACUAGAAAUAUAACUUAUUUUGAGGAGUACAGUUUUAAAAAGCUAAACUCAAAAAUUAUGGCGGCUAUAAAAAUUAAUUAGGGGAACUUACCUAGUAAAUGAUAGCCACCAUGAGCUCUCAACAUGAGUUAAAAAGUUUGUAUGCCGUCGUCAAAAAUCUUUUUUUGAAAGAUUUAUACCCAAAAUUUUUUGAUUAUGACAGAUCAAGGUGCAACUAAUAUUCAUGAUUAACAGGCGAGUUACAAUUAAGUUUUUUAUCGGAUUAAAUUUAUAAUUAAAUUUUGUAAGUUGGACUUAAAAGUAAUAUUUAAAAUUUUCAAAUAAUAUCUGAAUACUUAUUUUUAUAGUGCACACAUCGCCCGUCGU
RNAcentral lists this ribosomal RNA (385 nucleotides) under Vallonia pulchella. RNAcentral describes it as "partial 12S ribosomal RNA". The record is from RNAcentral. Lineage: Eukaryota; Metazoa; Mollusca; Gastropoda; Stylommatophora; Valloniidae.